RNAcentral lists this ribosomal RNA (471 nucleotides) under uncultured bacterium. RNAcentral's name for it is "bacterial SSU rRNA". It matches the Rfam family "Bacterial small subunit ribosomal RNA", at positions 30 to 490 of the family's 1533-position model. The record is from RNAcentral.
AUUGAACGCUGGCGGCAUGCCUUACACAUGCAAGUCGAACGGCAGCGGACCUUCGGGUGCCGGCGAGUGGCGAACGGGUGAGUAAUAUAUCGGAACGUACCUUUCAGUGGGGGAUAACGUAGCGAAAGUUACGCUAAUACCGCAUAUUCUGUGAGCAGGAAAGCAGGGGAUCGCAAGACUUUGCGCUGAUUGAGCGGCCGAUAUCAGAUUAGCUAGUUGGUGAGGUAAAGGCUCACCAAGGCGACGAUCUGUAGCGGGUCUGAGAGGAUGAUCCGCCACACUGGAACUGAGACACGGUCCAGACUCCUACGGGAGGCAGCAGUGGGGAAUUUUGGACAAUGGGCGCAAGCCUGAUCCAGCCAUGCCGCGUGAGUGAAGAAGGCCUCGGUUGUAAGACUCUUUCGGUCCGGGAACGGAAAGUACGACGACAGGUUAAUAACCCUCGUGUGGAGUGACGGUACCGGAAGUAAG